CGGCUUUGUGCGAUUUACCCUCUCAAACUUUCUAGUUUGCAAGUCAGAAUUACUUUGAACGUCCCCUCUUCUGGACUCCCCUCCCCAAAGGGACUGGCGGCAAAGGAGAAUAGAACGCAGAUGGUUAAUAGUUCAAAUGAAAUGUAAAAACCUAUAAACCAAUAUUUUUUUAGAGGAGAAAAGCGUUCACCAAACCGCCACCCGGCAAGCGAGCAUCCGAUUUCCAUCCGGAGGAAAAAAUAUUUUAAAAACCAGACAUAAAAUUCCCUUUGCAAGAAAAGUGGCCCCUAAACUCCCUUGCCAAGGACACUGGGAGGAAGCAGAAAAGCAAAGACCAAGCUCGUACUUUUCAGUCCGCGGCUUGUGUGCCGCGAGGAGAGGCGCAAAGGGUGACACACCAGGAAAGUGGCUGUGAUUCAGCGUCCCUCUUAGCAGCAGGCACUGACAGAGGCAGGAGAGGAAAAAAGAAAGAAAGAAAGAGAAAACACAGCAAAUGAAUCAAACGGACCAGGUAGCAGGCAAGAGUGUGGUUAUCGUUGGACCAGGAUUCAGGAUCUGACCGAGUAGCUGACUCUUAAUCCAGUUUGUGUUGAUCACCAGGAGGAUCUGGACCUCAGUGUUAUCACAUCUAAAGGUGAUAUGCCAACUCCACCUUUGCCUUCCACCAUGUUUGGAAGCUCCCUGAGGCCUCACCAGGAGCAGAUGCUCGUCCCAUGCUUCCUAUAAGCCUGCAGAACUGUGAGCCAUAAUAAACUGUGAAUUAUAAAUUGCCUUUAUAGCAAUGCAAAUGGACCAGUACAGAUGGGAUGCUGGGAAGACAGUUGUUCCACCUUCAGUAAAGUCCAUGGAACACAGUUGUGACUAUAUUCUAGGCCAGCCAAGAUGCUUGUACUCAGAAAGGAGUGAUCUCAGGACCAUAAGAAAGUGAAAAAAUAAAAAUAAGAAAACAAAGAAGGGAUUGUCAAUGAAUCAGAAUUCAUCAAGGUCAAAGUCUUAGGAAAUUCCUUCAUGAGGAAGUCUAGGGGGGCUAUGGAAAUGAAAAUUUUUAAACAAAUAGGUAUGUGGUGCUGGCAGGAAUAAAUUAUGGACUUAUGAAUAUAACAUAAGAUUCUUUAUUACCUGGUCUCACCCGUCUUUCCACCUCUGCCCCCCUUCUUGCCCGACUCUGUGUAUCACCCAUAAUAAACUACUUACAGCUUCCUAGUGUUAAAUUUACCCUAAAGCUGCCUCCUUCAAUAUUUUAAGUUUAACCUAAAGGUUCUUCAUACAUAGUGAACUAUAACCCAAUGAUUAAACAGAUUGUAACCUACUCUUGUACCAGUCACCAAGUUUCAGCCAAUCAGAGGUGGCCAACUGUUCAAACCAUGCUCAAAUAAGGGAAAUGUCAUGGUGUAACUAAUCCAGCUGUUUCUAUAUCUUACUUCUGUUUUCUUAGGUCACUUU
RNAcentral lists this long non-coding RNA (1443 nucleotides) under Pan troglodytes (chimpanzee). RNAcentral's name for it is "long non-coding RNA NONPTRT003528". Lineage: Eukaryota; Metazoa; Chordata; Mammalia; Primates; Hominidae. The record is from RNAcentral.